This 103-nucleotide small nuclear RNA is filed under the name Neotoma lepida (desert woodrat). Lineage: Eukaryota; Metazoa; Chordata; Mammalia; Rodentia; Cricetidae. The record is from RNAcentral.
GUGUUCAUUUGGCCAUACAUAUACUAAAGUUGGAAUACACAGAAAAUUGCCGUGGCCCCUGUGCUACGAUAAUAUACAAAUUAGUGAAGUGUUCAGUAUUUUU